Molecule: long non-coding RNA, 473 nt
Filed under: Homo sapiens (human)
Lineage: Eukaryota; Metazoa; Chordata; Mammalia; Primates; Hominidae
Description: long intergenic non-protein coding RNA 279
Source: RNAcentral
UCAGCGGUGGACUCUCGCCUGUCUUCUCUGUGGGAUCACGGCAUAGUUCCAUGAUCUUAGUAGAGGGCAGACAUGAGCCAGCCUAAAGAAACCUGCACCACUGUGAUUUCCAGAGGGCUGCAUUAUUCCUGUAAGAUGAGAAACAGACAGCCUAUUUUGGCUUUUGCAUGGUGAUCAAGCCUCUGUUGUAUUUCAUCUGCAAGUCUUCUCAUUAGGAGGGGCUUUUUCAUUGUCUGCUGCUGGAUGGAACAGCCUCUUGCCACAGAUUAUUUGGCUGCCAGGGAUUUCAAAGAGCACAAGAGACUUCAGAGAGCUGCUACAAGGCUCAGGAUGAAGGGAGGCAGUGAGAUAAAGAGCCCAGCCAUCUUUCACUGACACCCACCUCUGGGGUCUCAGGUAUGGUUCUAUCUCCUAAGGAAUGCUCAACAACGCACCAGAUUUUAUUCCAAUCUCCAUGGGACCCGAUUCUGGUA